CUAAAACCAACAGAGCCGCAAGGGGACAAGGCGGUAGGGGUUUCCGAUGGCGCCGAAGCGGAAGCCCGCGCGGGGGGCGGCGGCGGAGGAGCGGGACCCCGACGGAAUGUUCCACGGCGUCUCCGCCUUCAUCGUUCCCCACGGCGUCCAGGCCCGCCGUCUCGAGGUGUGGAAGCAGAGGCUGGUGCAGAUGGGGGGCCGCGUCGUGGAGAAGCUCGACAAGGGCGGCGCUGCGGCGGGGGUCAACCACGUGCUGGCCAUGGACGCCAAGGCUCUGCUCCGGGAGCUCGACGCCGCCUGGCUCCACCGUUUCCGCGGGAGUGUGGUGUCCUUCGAAUGGCUGGAGGAAUGCCUCAAGUCCGGGGAGAGGCUGCCCGAGCACAAGUUUACAAUCAACUAUGAAGAGGAAUUUAAGCCGAAGAAGGCAGCUGGCAAUGGAGGUUCGGGUGGGUUGCAGCCUGCGAAAAGGAGCAAAAUAUCAUCUGAGGAUCCUGGGGAUCAGCAGAGAACAAGCGACGAGGAUAGGGAGGAGCAUUCAAAUGCAAGUGCGGAUAAAGGUUCAGGUGUCAAGACAAAGCCUAACCAGUAUGCAAGUAGCCAAAGUAGCUCCGGAGAUACCAAGGAUACCGUAGGUUCUCAUGCUACAUUUGACAUCGAGGAAGCCUCCUCUGGAGGUCCCAGCAUUUAUGCUCCGGCAGACUUGAAUAGGAACAUCACCAAGAUUUUCGGAAGGCUUAUCGAUAUAUAUAGGGCCCUGGGAGAUGACAGAAGAUCAUUUAGCUAUUACAAGGCCAUACCGGUAAUUGAGAAAUUGCCAUUCAAAAUAGAAAGUGCUGAGCAAGUUAAAGACCUCCCUACCAUUGGGAAAUCUUUGAAAGACCAUAUAAAUGAAAUAGUUACAACUGGUAAACUCUCCAAGCUGGAACACUUUGAGAAUGAUGAAAAGGUGCGGACUAUCAGCUUAUUUGGAGAAGUUUGGGGGGUUGGCCCUGCCACUGCACUCAAGUUAUAUGAAAAGGGACACCGUACUCUUGAUGAUCUGCGAAAAGAUGAGUCACUUACAAAUGCUCAGAGGAUUGGAUUGAAGUACUUUGAUGAUAUCAAGCAAAGAAUCCCCCGGCAUGAGGUUAGCGAGAUGGAGAAGCUUUUGCAAGAUGUUGGGAAGGAUAUCUUGCCUGGGGUAAUAAUUGUUUGCGGAGGAUCAUAUAGACGUGGAAAAGCUUCUUGUGGUGACAUGGAUAUUGUUAUAACUCAUCCUGAUGGAGAAAGUCAUGUAGGUUUUUUGCCCAACUUUGUUCAACGGCUGAAGGAAAUUAACUUUUUGAGGGAGGAUCUUAUCUUUAGCAUACACAGCGUUGAUGUAAGUUGUAACAUACCCACCACUUGGGAUCAGAUAGUGGGGUUGACACAUAUUUUGGUCUUUGCACAUAUCCUGGGCAUGAACUGCGGCACCGCAUUGACUUAAAGGUAUACCCAAGGAACAGAUAUGCAUGUGGACUGCUUGCAUGGACUGGAAAUGAUGUACUAAAUCGACGGCUAAGACUAUUAGCAGAUUCGAAAGGAUACGUGCUUGAUGACACUGGAUUGUAUCUAGCUACACGGGGCAGUGGUGGAAAGCAUGCAGGUAGAUCGGAUGCGAUUGUCAACUGUCACACUGAGAAGGAUGUUUUCGACACUCUUGGAUUCCCUUGGCUCGAACCCCAUGAGCGCAAUCUUUAGUGGGUUUUGAGUGUUCCUGUAGCGGAUGUAUUUUGUAAAGCUGUAUGUACCUGAACUUAAUGGGGACUUAAAAGGCUUCGUACUGGGUGUUGUUCAUUUAUAUGUCCUUCAGUUCCCUUGUGUUGUGCUGUGAAUUGUACGCAACCUUAUUGAAAGUAUCUAAAGUAGUCUCUGCUCUCUGUCUUCCGGCAUAA
This is an RNA transcript of Panicum virgatum (switchgrass), 1913 nucleotides long. It is a transcript of the gene named DNA polymerase lambda-like, with no coding region annotated. The transcript is spliced from 14 exons. Lineage: Eukaryota; Viridiplantae; Streptophyta; Magnoliopsida; Poales; Poaceae. The record is from RefSeq and is a predicted model, not a curated record.